AGAACGAACGCUAGCGGCGUGGAUUAGGUAUGCAAGUCGAACGGGAACUAUAUAACAGAUCCUUCGGGUGAAGACUUAUAGGGAACGUGGCGAAAGGGUGAGUAAUAAAUGGAUAACCUACCCUCCAGAUCGGGAUAAUCCAUCGAAAGGUGGGGUAAUACCGGAUGGUCUGGCAGUCUUAUCAGUCUGUCAGUAAAGGUUGCUUCGGCAUCUGCUGGAGGAGGGGUCAUUUCCUAUUAGCUUGUUGGUAAGGUAAUGGCUUACCAAGGCAUAGAUGGGUAGGGGGCCUUAGCGGGUGAUCCCCCACACUGGGACUGAGACACUGCCCAUGUUCCUACGGGAGGCUGCAAUCGAGAAUCCUCCGCAAUGGGCGAAAGCCUGACGGGGUGACGCCGCGUGGACGAUGAAGGCCUAUCAGGUUGUAAAGUCCUAACAGGGAGUAUGAAAAUCGGCGGGUCCAAUAGGCCCGUUGAUUGACGUCAAUCCCAGAUGAAGUCACGGCUAAAUAUGUGCCAGCAGCCGCGGUAAGACAUAUGUGGCGAGCGUUGUUCGGAAUUACUGGGCUUAAAGCGCGCGUAGGCGGUUCAGUCAGUUAAUUUGUGAAAUCCCCCGGCUUAACCGGGGAAUCGCGGUUAAUACUGCUGAACUCGAGUACAAGAGGGGAGAGUGGAAUUCUGGGUGUAGCGGUGGAAUGCGAAGAUAUCCAGGAGAAGGCCGGUGGCGAAAGCGACUCUCUGGCUUGAUACUGACGCUGAGGUGCGAAAGCGUAGGUAGCGAACGGGAUUAGAUACCCCGGUAGUCUACGCUGUAAAUGAUGGGCACUGGAUGGUGGAGGCGCUGAUAGCUUUCUCCGUCGAAGCAAAUGCGUUAAGUGCCCCGCCUGGGGAGUACGGUCACAAGAUUAAAACUCAAAGGAAUUGACGGGGGCCCACACAAGCGGUGGAGGAUGCGGCUUAAUUCGAGGACACGCGUAAAACCUUACCGAGGUUUGACAUGUAGGGAUUAAUCCGGUGAAAGCCGGAGGAUUGCCUUACGGUGUAACCUACACAGGUGCUGCAUGGCUGUCGACAGUUCGUGUCGUGAGAUGUUAGGUUAAGUCCUGAAACGAGCGAAACCCCUGUGCUUAAUUGCCAGCGCGUUAUGGCGGGGACAUUAGGCAGACUGCCUCGGCUAACGGGGAGGAAGGUGGGGACGACGUCAAGUCAGCAUGGCCCUUAUACCUCGGGCUGCACGCGUCCUACAAUGGGCAGUACAAACAGGACCGAUCCCGCGAGGGGGAGGAAAUCUCUAAAGCUGCUCUCAGUUCGGAUUGCAGGCUGAAACCCGCCUGCAUGAAGGUGGAAUCGCUAGUAAUCGCCGGUCAGCUAUACGGCGGUGAUCCGUCCCUGGGCAUUGUACACACCGCCCGUCAAGCCACCCGAGUUGGGCGCACUCGAAGUCCGAGACUCAACCGUUUACGGAGAGAUCGGCCGAA
RNAcentral lists this ribosomal RNA (1474 nucleotides) under uncultured organism. RNAcentral describes it as "bacterial SSU rRNA". It matches the Rfam family "Bacterial small subunit ribosomal RNA". The record is from RNAcentral.